GUCACUGUCCUCAUGAUUUUGUGUGAGUAGUAAACAUUCUUACAACUGAUCUUCAUCUACAACUGUUCAUGUUUUAUUGAUGCUGAGCAACUUACUUGUUGUAUUUAGUCAUUCUAUCCUAUGGUGUGGAGAGGAUCCUUGGAGAAGUGGUUGAGCAAAGAGUUCAACCAGGAGAAAAAAUCACCUUGGAGUGUAACUCAGAAACAGUGAUGAUAAGUAUAGAGUGGAGUAGGAACUGCACCCAUGUGAAUCAGCCAGUAUUCACCAUAGCAGGCAUAUGGGCUCCACCUCGCUUCAGUGUUACCACCACAACUACAUCCAGUGUUCUGAGGAUUGAGAACAUCACUGAGGGGGACCUUGGACUUUACUACUGUACCGGUUCAAAGGCUGCGUCAGGAUUAGAAAAGGGAAGGGCGCCAUUUGGCAAAAUUGUCAAAGUGAUUUUUCAAGAUAAAGACAUCCUUCCCAGUCCUACACCUUCUAGUUCUACUACUGAAUGUGAGCACUGCUGGAUUCUACUGCUCAGUUUGUGUCCCACUUGUAUUGUUUUCACCGCGUUCAUCUCCUCUACUUGCGUGUACUGUCUACUCCGUAAGAAAGGGUCAAAGGAGAAGGAGCUUCAUCACAGAUCUACAAUCAGAACAGAGAGGACACAGAAUGAAGACCUUUGCUAUGCCUCCCUGGACAUGCCUAUCAGUACACACAAGCCAAAUCCCAGGAAAAAGAGACAACAGAAUACAAACUUCAGUACAUACUCUGAGGUCAGGACUGGUACAAAGUAGAAUCUUCACCUGUUAUGUUGAGACUUCAGCCUUCUCUUCUGUCAUGGUUCCACAAUUAACUGGUAUUUACAGAUUUACUUUCCAAAAUAUUUUGGGAUCGAAACCAACCUAGUUUAAGAAUGUUUGUGUGAUAUAAGCCAAAUCAUGUGCUGAAAUGCAUGAUUAAUUCAUAAUAAGAUAUUUUUAAAAAGGCUGUUCAUAGUCUUGUGUAAAUACCUCCAAUGCGUCAUUCUGAUUUUGACUUUCUUAAUGUUAAUGACUUGACUUUGUUAAUGUUAAUGUUACA
Sardina pilchardus (European sardine) is the source of this 1068-nucleotide long non-coding RNA. RefSeq lists it as uncharacterized. The record is from RefSeq and is a predicted model, not a curated record. The transcript is spliced from 4 exons. NCBI's taxonomy places the organism in Eukaryota, Metazoa, Chordata, Actinopteri, Clupeiformes, Clupeidae.